GUUAAGCGACUAAGCGUACACGGUGGAUGCCCUGGCAGUCAGAGGCGAUGAAGGACGUGCUAAUCUGCGAUAAGCGUCGGUAAGGUGAUAUGAACCGUUAUAACCGGCGAUUUCCGAAUGGGGAAACCCAGUGUGUUUCGACACACUAUCAUUAACUGAAUCCAUAGGUUAAUGAGGCGAACCGGGGGAACUGAAACAUCUAAGUACCCCGAGGAAAAGAAAUCAACCGAGAUUCCCCCAGUAGCGGCGAGCGAACGGGGAGGAGCCCAGAGCCUGAAUCAGUGUGUGUGUUAGUGGAAGCGUCUGGAAAGGCGCGCGAUACAGGGUGACAGCCCCGUACACAAAAAUGCACAUGCUGUGAGCUCGAUGAGUAGGGCGGGACACGUGGUAUCCUGUCUGAAUAUGGGGGGACCAUCCUCCAAGGCUAAAUACUCCUGACUGACCGAUAGUGAACCAGUACCGUGAGGGAAAGGCGAAAAGAACCCCGGCGAGGGGAGUGAAAAAGAACCUGAAACCGUGUACGUACAAGCAGUGGGAGCACGCUUAGGCGUGUGACUGCGUACCUUUUGUAUAAUGGGUCAGCGACUUAUAUUCUGUAGCAAGGUUAACCGAAUAGGGGAGCCGAAGGGAAACCGAGUCUUAACUGGGCGUUAAGUUGCAGGGUAUAGACCCGAAACCCGGUGAUCUAGCCAUGGGCAGGUUGAAGGUUGGGUAACACUAACUGGAGGACCGAACCGACUAAUGUUGAAAAAUUAGCGGAUGACUUGUGGCUGGGGGUGAAAGGCCAAUCAAACCGGGAGAUAGCUGGUUCUCCCCGAAAGCUAUUUAGGUAGCGCCUCGUGAAUUCAUCUCCGGGGGUAGAGCACUGUUUCGGCAAGGGGGUCAUCCCGACUUACCAACCCGAUGCAAACUGCGAAUACCGGAGAAUGUUAUCACGGGAGACACACGGCGGGUGCUAACGUCCGUCGUGAAGAGGGAAACAACCCAGACCGCCAGCUAAGGUCCCAAAGUCAUGGUUAAGUGGGAAACGAUGUGGGAAGGCCCAGACAGCCAGGAUGUUGGCUUAGAAGCAGCCAUCAUUUAAAGAAAGCGUAAUAGCUCACUGGUCGAGUCGGCCUGCGCGGAAGAUGUAACGGGGCUAAACCAUG
This 1148-nucleotide ribosomal RNA is filed under the name Escherichia coli. RNAcentral's name for it is "partial 23S ribosomal RNA". It matches the Rfam family "Bacterial large subunit ribosomal RNA", at positions 1 to 1191 of the family's 2925-position model. Lineage: Bacteria; Pseudomonadati; Pseudomonadota; Gammaproteobacteria; Enterobacterales; Enterobacteriaceae. The record is from RNAcentral.